RNAcentral lists this transfer RNA (84 nucleotides) under Jenufa minuta. RNAcentral describes it as "tRNA-Leu". It matches the Rfam family "tRNA". From Rfam's summary of the family: Transfer RNA (tRNA) molecules are approximately 80 nucleotides in length. Their secondary structure includes four short double-helical elements and three loops (D, anti-codon, and T loops). The record is from RNAcentral. Lineage: Eukaryota; Viridiplantae; Chlorophyta; Chlorophyceae.
GCCUUCGUGAUGGAACUGGUAGACAUCCUGGUUUUAGGAACCAGUGCUAUUAAAGGCGUGUCGGUUCAAAUCCGACCGAAGGCA